Molecule: ribosomal RNA, 180 nt
Filed under: uncultured bacterium
Lineage: Bacteria
Description: partial 16S ribosomal RNA
Rfam family: Bacterial small subunit ribosomal RNA
Source: RNAcentral
UUUUUACGGGAGGCAGCAGUGGGGAAUAUUGCACAAUGGGCGCAAGCCUGAUGCAGCGACGCCGCGUGAGGGAUGACGGCCUUCGGGUUGUAAACCUCUGUUAGCAGGGAAGAAGAGAGAUUGACGGUACCUGCAGAGAAAGCGCCGGCUAACUACGUGCCAGCAGCCGCGGUAAUAAAA